RNAcentral lists this ribosomal RNA (135 nucleotides) under uncultured bacterium. Its description in RNAcentral is "partial 16S ribosomal RNA". It matches the Rfam family "Bacterial small subunit ribosomal RNA", at positions 355 to 507 of the family's 1533-position model. The record is from RNAcentral.
UGGGGAAUAUUGGACAAUGGGGGCAACCCUGAUCCAGCCAUGCCGCGUGAGUGAUGAAGGCCUUCGGGUUGUAAAGCUCUUUUGGCGGGGACGAUGAUGACGGUACCCGCAGAAUAAGCCCCGGCUAACUUCGUG